Molecule: ribosomal RNA, 402 nt
Filed under: uncultured Eubacteriales bacterium
Lineage: Bacteria; Bacillati; Bacillota; Clostridia; Eubacteriales
Description: uncultured Clostridiales bacterium partial 16S ribosomal RNA
Rfam family: Bacterial small subunit ribosomal RNA
Source: RNAcentral
UGGGGAAUAUUGCACAAUGGGCGAAAGCCUGAUGCAGCAACGCCGCGUGAGGGAAGAAGGUCUUCGGAUCGUAAACCUCUAUCGAUGGGGACAAAAAUGAUGGUACCCAAGUAAGAAGCCCCGGCUAACUACGUGCCAGCAGCCGCGGUAAUACGUAGGGGGCAAGCGUUAUCCGGAAUCACUGGGUGUAAAGGGUGAGUAGGCGGUUUGGAAAGUCACAUGUGAAAUGCAACGGCUUAACCGAUGCACUGCAUGAGAAACUUCCGGACUAGAGUUAAGAAGAGGUAAGCGGAAUUCCUAGUGUAGCGGUGAAAUGCGUAGAUAUUAGGAAGAACACCGGUGGCGAAGGCGGCUUACUGGGCUUUAACUGACGCUGAUACACGAAAGCGUGGGGAGCAAACA